This 285-nucleotide unclassified non-coding RNA is filed under the name plant metagenome. RNAcentral describes it as "partial contains small subunit ribosomal RNA, internal transcribed spacer 1, and 5.8S ribosomal RNA". The stretch from base 1 to 54 matches the Rfam family "Eukaryotic small subunit ribosomal RNA", at positions 1778 to 1831 of the family's 1831-position model. The record is from RNAcentral.
GGAAGUAAAAGUCGUAACAGGGUUUCCGUAGGUGAACCUGCGGAAGGAUCAUUAUUGUAUAACCGAGGUGCGAGGGCCGUCGCUGACCCGAAAGGUCGUGCACGCCCGAGUGCCCUCACACACAUCCAUCUCACCCCUAUGUGCACCACCGCGUGGGUCCCCCUUUGGCUUGUUCGGAGGGGGGCUUACGUUUUCACACAAACUUUGUAUGCAGUGUAGAAUGUAUUUUUUGUUUUUGCGAUCACGCAAUCAAUACAACUUUCAACAACGGAUCUCUUGGCUCUC